RNAcentral lists this ribosomal RNA (96 nucleotides) under uncultured bacterium. RNAcentral describes it as "partial 16S ribosomal RNA". It matches the Rfam family "Bacterial small subunit ribosomal RNA", at positions 1388 to 1482 of the family's 1533-position model. The record is from RNAcentral.
CACCGCCCGUCACAUCACGAAAGUGGGUUGCACUAGAAGUCGGUCCGCUAACCGCAAGGAAGCAGCCGCCCAAGGUGUGAUUCAUGAUUGGGGGUG